UACGUAGGGGGCUAGCGUUGUCCGGAAUCAUUGGGCGUAAAGCGCGUGUAGGCGGUCCGGUAAGUCCGCUGUGAAAGUCGGGGGCUCAACCCUCGAAUGCCGGUGGAUACUGUCGGGCUAGAGUGCGGAAGAGGCGAGUGGAAUUCCUGGUGUAGCGGUGAAAUGCGCAGAUAUCAGGAGGAACACCGGUGGCGAAGGCGGAUCUCUGGGCCAUUACUGACGCUGAGGAGCGAAAGCGUGGGGAGCGAACAGG
RNAcentral lists this ribosomal RNA (253 nucleotides) under uncultured bacterium. Its description in RNAcentral is "partial 16S ribosomal RNA". It matches the Rfam family "Bacterial small subunit ribosomal RNA", at positions 524 to 776 of the family's 1533-position model. The record is from RNAcentral.